RNAcentral lists this ribosomal RNA (278 nucleotides) under uncultured Lysinibacillus sp. RNAcentral's name for it is "partial 16S ribosomal RNA". It matches the Rfam family "Bacterial small subunit ribosomal RNA", at positions 511 to 788 of the family's 1533-position model. Lineage: Bacteria; Bacillati; Bacillota; Bacilli; Caryophanales; Bacillaceae. The record is from RNAcentral.
GCAGCCGCGGUAAUACGUAGGUGGCAAGCGUUGUCCGGAAUUAUUGGGCGUAAAGCGCGCGCAGGCGGUCCUUUAAGUCUGAUGUGAAAGCCCACGGCUCAACCGUGGAGGGUCAUUGGAAACUGGGGGACUUGAGUGCAGAAGAGGAAAGUGGAAUUCCAAGUGUAGCGGUGAAAUGCGUAGAGAUUUGGAGGAACACCAGUGGCGAAGGCGACUUUCUGGUCUGUAACUGACGCUGAGGCGCGAAAGCGUGGGGAGCAAACAGGAUUAGAUACCCC